This 203-nucleotide long non-coding RNA is filed under the name Mytilus galloprovincialis (Mediterranean mussel). Lineage: Eukaryota; Metazoa; Mollusca; Bivalvia; Mytilida; Mytilidae. The record is from RNAcentral.
CAGGAAUUUGUGUCAGAUUUAAUGUUGUCAAUACAUUUUAAGGACAUAUAGGUCGAGUCACGUUUAGUAUGUCUUAGUUGAAAAAAAUAUAUAGUACGUCACAAUUACCAAGGUUGAGAUUACAACAACCUGGGUGUCAUUAUAUGUAUGACUAUCAUCGAAUUUCAUUUGUUGAAAUGUUUAUAUUAUUUUAAACGCCAACG